UUGGAUUCGAGUACUUAUGGGACGUCAAAACAAUGGCCGCGUGAACCAAGACUGGAAGCAGUUGUAUUAGGAUUAAAUGUUAUCAUGGAGUGAGGAGAGGUGACGGAGCCAUGUACUACCCUCUGGGGCUGCCGAGGCGCCUGCGUGUGCCCGGGGGAGCUGCCCAUGGCCAGGUGAAGGCCAUCGUGUGUAACAGAGACAGGGUCCUCUUCGCCGUCCUCACUGAAAAGUCUAUAUGGAUUUGGUUCAGCCGACCAUGUGUGCCUGUGGUUGUCCACCAGAGGUCAGAAGAAUCUAUCAGCACCAUUGGCACUAACCAGAUGCUGGAAUGGCGCCAUGACUCCUCCAUGAUUGUUGUUGGUACUAAUAAGAAUCGCCUGAUCUUCUACUCCAUUGUGGUGGAUGAGUCUCGGAGAGAGGUGUAUGAGCAAAGGGAUCCCCCCAAUCCCACCCUCAAGCGGGAGUCUGCUGAGCUGUACUCCUGUGAACCUAUUCCACCCUUCAUGUUCUCAACUGCUUUUGAAAGAGAAGUGAGUGGAGGAGUGACAGGACUAGUGUGCUUGAGGGAUGAGCUAAUGGUGGCAACAGGAUCAGGCCAUAUCCAGCGAUUAUGUUGGGAUGGCUCUAUUAACUACAGCUACUGUGUGGAUCUACGGCGUGUACCCUUCUGUGACGAUCAACUGGUAAUGAAGGCUCUGCCCCUUGAUGCCCCGGGUGUGCAUGUGGUGGACCUGGAAUACUCUCCACUGGUGGGUGGCUUUGCUGUGGUUCUCAGCGACGGCAGAGCAGCCUUCCUUACUGCCUCCACCCUCAAGUUUGAUCCUAAUGCGGUGCAAGGUAUCUGGGCACGGGAGCUAGAAGAUGCCACAUGUGCUGCCAUCAACCACAAGUACCGUCUACUGGCCUACGGAAGAGCCAACUCCCAAGGAGUGGUGUACCUUGUGGAUGAAGCAACAGGAGGUCUUGAAGUUUCUCAUAGGAUGAUCCUUUCAGACAGAGACUAUGGAGGCUCACCGGGACCAGUUGGUUUCAUGAAGUGGACACCUGAUGGUACUGUGCUAGGCAUGAGCUGGAUUGGAGGAGGACUAUCUCUUUGGAGUGUGUUUGGUUCCCUGUUGACUGUCUCCCUGCGUUGGGACUACUCACAAGAUCCUCUUUCUCAUGCCAUUACUAUCACAAAUAUGGAAUGGGGAGCAGAAGGCUAUGAGCUCUGGUGUGUACAGGAACAUGAGGGAGGGAAGGAAUCCUGCUGGGGUAAAUCAUCAUUCAUGGAUACUGAGGAUAAGAAAGAAGAGGAGGAAGUCAACACUGGAACAUCAGUCUUGCAGCUUUCCUUUAUCAAGAGUGCUCUCACUGUUAACCCGUGCAUGAGCCGACUGGUGAGGGUUCUCUUGCAGGGCAGUGACCGUCUCUAUCUCAAUACUACUGAGGGCCUCAUGGGAACAUCCUCAAGUACCCCUCAUGAUGCUCUCUCUCUUUACUUUGACGAUGAUGAAGAGGGUGCUUUUGAGGAUCGUGCCAAUACCCAGUUUAAUGUGGCUGCCAACAAGCAGUGGAUUGUUGUGCCUAUACCAUACAAGUACACGUCUUCCAACUGGCCAGUCAGGUAUACAUGUGUGGACGAGGCUGGACAGUUGGUGGGUGUAGCAGGGCGGAAUGGGGUCACCCACUAUUCCUUGCGGUUAAGACGGUGGCACCUGUUUGGCAAUGAGAGCCAGGAGCGAGACUUUGUGGUAACAGGAGGACUGCUGUGGUGGAGGUCAACAUGGCUGGUUCUCGGGGCCUACAACAUCCCUGCUAACACAGAUGAACUGAGGCUGUAUCCACGUGAUCACAAGUUGGACAACUCCUUCCUUACUACUGUUCCUCAACCUGCACAGGUCCUUUUGCUUAAUAUAUAUGGGGACCAGCUGAUUGUGUUGACUGCUGAUUGUCACAUUACUGUGUACAACUUGCAACUCCCUCAGACUGACUCAGGUGGCAGUCCUGGCAGUGUUGUGGUGUCCCGAGUGCAGGAGGUAGACAUCUCUGGUUUGACGGUGCAUCCAGCUUGUGUGGUGUCGGUGCUGCUGACUAGUCUGCGCACUGAGUCAUGGCAGGCCAAUAGUGGACAGCAUAGUCUACUACCUGCCCAAAGUGUGAUCAUCAACAUUUCAGGCAAGGUUCUUAUGAUCCAGAGGGACCAACAACAACCCCUUGGCUCACCCAACAAUGGCAAGCUGUUUCACAGUGCACAGAUGACACCCAUUGUGCUGGCAUCAGGUUGCGAGGCCCUGUGGUGUAGUAGCUGUGCUGUUAGUCAUAAGCCUCACCUUAGCCAUGCCUUGUGGCUUCAUUGUGGAGCGCAUGGCACUCGAGCAUGGUUGCCUUUGUUUCCUAAUUCUUCCGAUAAGUCACACACCUUCAUGGCCCGAAGGAUCAUGUUGCCCUUCACUCCGUCCAUAUAUCCCUUGGCUGUUAUGUUUGAGGAGGGCAUUCUCCUUGGAGCUGAGACUGAUACUUCCUUGCUGGCCUGUGAUGCUGCCUCCCACCAUCAACCCCUCAUGGUAGUGGAGCGAACUAGCCAAGUUUACCUUCAUCACCUCCUGCGACAACUGUUGCGCCGAAACCUAGGAUAUCAUGCAUGGGAGGUGGCUAACACUUGCCGAGAGCUGCCCUACUUCCCUCAUGCUCUUGAACUGCUGCUUCACCAGGUUCUGGAGGAAGAGGCCUCUAGCAAAGAUCCGCUCCCAGACUGCUUAUUGCCCCGAGUUGUUGAGUUCAUCAGAGAGUUUCCGGUGUACCUUCAGACAGUGGUGCAGUGUGCUCGAAAGACUGAAUUAGCGCUCUGGCAUUACCUUUUCUCAGCAGCUGGUAGUCCCAAACAACUCUUCAUAAGGGCACUAGAAGUGGCACAGCUGGACACAGCAGCAUCUUACCUCAUAAUUUUGCAGAACUUGGAGAGUGCUUCUGUGAGUCGCAGCCUUGCCACCCGUCUCCUGGAUGCCACCUUGGAGGCUGGGAAGUGGGAUCUUAGCAAAGACCUAAUUCGUUUCCUGCGCUCUAUAGAUCCAACAGAUCUGGACUCACCAAAGCCCUCGAUACUCUCUUGUGGUAGCACGAAAGUUGGAUUCACUCAUGCCACCCCACCAGUAUCUCCAGCUUGUGUUGAUGAGGAUCUCUCCAUGAUUCUUCCCAACACUCAGAUGUUGUUGAGAAGAAUCCCGUCUGUUCUGGUCAUCCUGCCACAGGUGUUGCGAGGACGUUCCUUCUCAUCAGCUUCAGCCCCAAAAGUGGCUGUGGGUGAAAACGGUCCAACCAACCACCAGUCUGUGGUGAGAACCACCUCUGAUUCAGCCAAAGUUCUUCCUGACAUUACAAGACCAAGCCAAGCUGCAGGUCCCACUCGAAAACGUUCCAGUAGUUCUCUGAGCAGGGAAGUAUCUACUGCUGAAGAGUUCUUCCUUGAUGUAAUCCUUCAGAGACAUGCAAAGAAACUUCUGCUUGGAGGUCGUCUAAGGGAUCUAGGGACAAUGGCUGCCCAUUUGGACUUUCCAUUGGUGUCGUGGCUCAGGAGAGAGCGUAACCGAGCAUCACGUGUCGACGAUUUUGUGGCUUCCCUUAAACAGGUCCACCGGGACUUUUCGUGGCCCUACCCAUCUGUUCCCUCAUCACAGAUUCGCCGCUAUUCAGUGUCAGUGGCAAGGGGCAUGGGCAUCCAAGGGGAGAAGGUUGCUCUGGUAGAAGAAAGGAUGCAUGGCCUCUCCAUCACAGUACCUAAGAUUGCUUCACUGGAUACUGGAGAGAUUGGAGACAGUGGAUAUUUGAGUCAAGCUACUGGAGACACUCACACUGUCACUCCCCAGCAUGGGCCACACUCACCACCAGCCCUACCCUCUCCCAUAGACAUAAUACCCCAUCAAGCACUCCUCCUUCCCCAUUCUCCUGCUGCAGGUGACACAAUAAGUGUGAUGAGUGAGGAGGGAACUGUGUAUGGUGAUGAUACCUCCAGUCUCUGUGGAGACUGGGGAACUGAUGGCAGUGAUCCUACUCGAGAUCUGCUCUCCCGUCCUCCUGACCCCCCACCCCAGCCUACUCCUCGUCCACCUCCUCAUGCUGAGGUACAGUUGAGGUACCUCUUGCAGGUGUUGCUUGAGGCUGGGUGUCUGGAAUGGAGUGUUGUGGUUGCAGUGGUACUACGUGAUGCCCUGGCUGUGUUGCGAGUAGUGACACUGGCCAGGGCACCUGAUGUGCCAGCUCAGGUUAUAAACAGACUUACAGCUGGACUUCAGGACCUUCUGCUCUUCACCACUACUGAAUGCUUGGGCUACCAGAACUUUUUAGGUGCCAUCAUGAGUCAAGUGAAGGUGCUGGAAAGGCUAGCCAGUACAAGGGAGGUGUCCAGGACACCCAGUCCCCCUUCUUCUCGUCCCCCUUCCACUAGUAAGGAGUCAGAGCCUUCACCCUCAAAUGCAGAAGCAUGUGUCAGAACCACUAUACAGACUGCACCUCCUAUAUCCAAUCAGCAACAGGCUGCUCCUCAGCAGUCAUUAAAGCAGCAACAGCAAAAUCAGCAACCUGCACAGUUGUCACAGCAACUCCCUCAGCAACAGUUGCAGCAGCCAACCAUACAAAGAAUGUCAAUAUUGCCCCGCCAAACUUCUGGCACCACUGAGACCUUAGCAGAGGAAACUUUGUCUCAAGCAUCAGAAGAAGAAUUGUUAGUUGAGGAGGAGGAUCCCAUGGCAGUUGAGGAAGGGGGCAGUGCAGCAUGUGUAGUGUCUUAGGCUGUACUGCAAGUUGCAGGUGCAACUAAACUCUAUCUAUGGUGUCCUGUGAGCAUCCUUAAGUGUGACUAUUGAAGAAAUGAUGAUUUAUUUUCCUCAUUGAAUAUCAUUUUGAUGAAGAUGGAUCUGUACAUUGAGUCAAGAAUUGGGAGUCUUGCUCACAACUAACAGUGAUGUGCGUGCGUGCGUGCGUGCAUGUGUGUGUGUGUGUUGCGGAGUCCUGUUAUCUGCAUGGGUGGUCCAGCUGGUGUACGCUUGACGCCGGUGACGUGAUUGGCUGGCGUAUGAUGUUGGAGGCCUUCCUUUCUUUUCGUUUCCCUUUAUCAGACAUCAGUAAAUGUUUUAUGUUAUGAAAUGUGUUUUGUAUUAUACUUAAAAUUAUUUUAUAAAGUGUGACAUAAGUAUUGUGGACUG
This 5180-nucleotide unclassified non-coding RNA is filed under the name Portunus trituberculatus (swimming crab). RNAcentral's name for it is "guanine nucleotide exchange factor subunit Rich-like, transcript variant X3". Lineage: Eukaryota; Metazoa; Arthropoda; Malacostraca; Decapoda; Portunidae. The record is from RNAcentral.